GAUAGAUGAAUACGUGGAUGAAUGAGUUGGUAGAUGGGUGAAUGGGUGAAUGGAAAGAUGGAUGAUGUCGAGAGUCAGUGUUUUCACAAAAUCUCCCUGCCCAGGGAGGAGUCCAUUCUCAGGCCAGGCCCUGCCGUCACCCCACAGCAGCCCUGCCAUGGCCCUUCUCUCCUCAAUGGCCUUCGAGGGAAAAGGAAGAAAUGUGUCUUGGCUGGAGGCCCACGUUUCGUUCCAGCACAUCCUUUUUACCAAAAGAGCCGUCCCUGGAGCUGCCAACAGUGUUUACAAGAAAACCAUCCAACAAUAGUUUGGAUCUGGGAGCGUGGCCUGACCACAGACGUGGCCUUCCCCACCCUGAGAACCAACCAUCAGGAAGCCUGGCACAUGAUACGAAAAGGCAGAGGUGCAGAAACAGACGCUGUGCAUGUCCCUGCAAGAGUGAUACAAGAUGACUGAGAAAUGUCAUCUGAGAGAAGGGGAAGAACCAGCCCUACAUUAAAAAGGUAAAGAAAUAGAAGAAAAAAAAAUCAUGAAGUCAGUGUGUAAUUAUAGUUGAUGCAUAUAUUGUAUUUUAUAAUGCCACCUGACCUGCCUCUUGAGAAAUCUGUAUGCAGGUCAGAAAGCAACAGUUAGAAAUGGACGUGGAACAACAGACUGGUUCCAAUAGGAAAAGCUGUACGUCAAGGCUGUAUAUUGUCACCCUGCUUAUUUAACUUGUAUGCAGAGUACACCAGGAGAAACGCUGGGCUGGAUGAAGCACAAGCUGAAAUCAAGAUUGCCAGGAGAAAUAUCAAUAACCUCAGAU
This 805-nucleotide long non-coding RNA is filed under the name Bos indicus x Bos taurus (hybrid cattle). Its description in RNAcentral is "lncRNA (ENSBIXG00000021566.1)". Lineage: Eukaryota; Metazoa; Chordata; Mammalia; Artiodactyla; Bovidae. The record is from RNAcentral.